CAUAGGUUAAUGAGGCGAACCGGGGGAACUGAAACAUCUAAGUACCCCGAGGAAAAGAAAUCAACCGAGAUUCCCCCAGUAGCGGCGAGCGAACGGGGAGCAGCCCAGAGCCUGAAUCAGUGUGUGUGUUAGUGGAAGCGUCUGGAAAGGCGCGCGAUACAGGGUGACAGCCCCGUACACAAAAAUGCACAUACUGUGAGCUCGAUGAGUAGGGCGGGACACGUGGUAUCCUGUCUGAAUAUGGGGGGACCAUCCUCCAAGGCUAAAUACUCCUGACUGACCGAUAGUGAACCAGUACCGUGAGGGAAAGGCGAAAAGAACCCCGGCGAGGGGAGUGAAAAAGAACCUGAAACCGUGUACGUACAAGCAGUGGGAGCACGCUUAGGCGUGUGACUGCGUACCUUUUGUAUAAUGGGUCAGCGACUUAUAUUCUGUAGCAAGGUUAACCGAAUAGGGGAGCCGAAGGGAAACCGAGUCUUAACUGGGCGUUAAGUUGCAGGGUAUAGACCCGAAACCCGGUGAUCUAGCCAUGGGCAGGUUGAAGGUUGGGUAACACUAACUGGAGGACCGAACCGACUAAUGUUGAAAAAUUAGCGGAUGACUUGUGGCUGGGGGUGAAAGGCCAAUCAAACCGGGAGAUAGCUGGUUCUCCCCGAAAGCUAUUUAGGUAGCGCCUCGUGAAUUCAUCUCCGGGGGUAGAGCACUGUUUCGGCAAGGGGGUCAUCCCGACUUACCAACCCGAUGCAAACUGCGAAUACCGGAGAAUGUUAUCACGGGAGACACACGGCGGGUGCUAACGUCCGUCGUGAAGAGGGAAACAACCCAGACCGCCAGCUAAGGUCCCAAAGUCAUGGUUAAGUGGGAAACGAUGUGGGAAGGCCCAGACAGCCAGGAUGUUGGCUUAGAAGCAGCCAUCAUUUAAAGAAAGCGUAAUAGCUCACUGGUCGAGUCGGCCUGCGCGGAAGAUGUAACGGGGCUAAACCAUGCACCGAAGCUGCGGCAGCGACGCUGAUGCGUUGUUGGGUAGGGGAGCGUUCUGUAAGCCUGUGAAGGUGUGCUGUGAGGCAUGCUGGAGGUAUCAGAAGUGCGAAUGCUGACAUAAGUAACGAUAAAGCGGGUGAAAAGCCCGCUCGCCGGAAGACCAAGGGUUCCUGUCCAACGUUAAUCGGGGCAGGGUGAGUCGACCCCUAAGGCGAGGCCGAAAGGCGUAGUCGAUGGGAAACAGGUUAAUAUUCCUGUACUUGGUGUUACUGCGAAGGGGGGACGGAGAAGGCUAUGUUGGCCGGGCGACGGUUGUCCCGGUUUAAGCGUGUAGGCUGGUUUUCCAGGCAAAUCCGGAAAACUAAGGCUGAGGCGUGAUGACGAGGCACUACGGUGCUGAAGCAACAAAUGCCCUGCUUCCAGGAAAAGCCUCUAAGCAUCAGGUAACAUCAAAUCGUACCCCAAACCGACACAGGUGGUCAGGUAGAGAAUACCAAGGCGCUUGAGAGAACUCGGGUGAAGGAACUAGGCAAAAUGGUGCCGUAACUUCGGGAGAAGGCACGCUGAUAUGUAGGUGAAGCGACUUGCUCGUGGAGCUGAAAUCAGUCGAAGAUACCAGCUGGCUGCAACUGUUUAUUAAAAACACAGCACUGUGCAAACACGAAAGUGGACGUAUACGGUGUGACGCCUGCCCGGUGCCGGAAGGUUAAUUGAUGGGGUCAGCGCAAGCGAAGCUCUUGAUCGAAGCCCCGGUAAACGGCGGCCGUAACUAUAACGGUCCUAAGGUAGCGAAAUUCCUUGUCGGGUAAGUUCCGACCUGCACGAAUGGCGUAAUGAUGGCCAGGCUGUCUCCACCCGAGACUCAGUGAAAUUGAACUCGCUGUGAAGAUGCAGUGUACCCGCGGCAAGACGGAAAGACCCCGUGAACCUUUACUAUAGCUUGACACUGAACAUUGAGCCUUGAUGUGUAGGAUAGGUGGGAGGCUUUGAAGUGUGGACGCCAGUCUGCAUGGAGCCGACCUUGAAAUACCACCCUUUAAUGUUUGAUGUUCUAACGUUGACCCGUGAUCCGGGUUGCGGACAGUGUCUGGUGGGUAGUUUGACUGGGGCGGUCUCCUCCUAAAGAGUAACGGAGGAGCACGAAGGUUGGCUAAUCCUGGUCGGACAUCAGGAGGUUAGUGCAAUGGCAUAAGCCAGCUUGACUGCGAGCGUGACGGCGCGAGCAGGUGCGAAAGCAGGUCAUAGUGAUCCGGUGGUUCUGAAUGGAAGGGCCAUCGCUCAACGGAUAAAAGGUACUCCGGGGAUAACAGGCUGAUACCGCCCAAGAGUUCAUAUCGACGGCGGUGUUUGGCACCUCGAUGUCGGCUCAUCACAUCCUGGGGCUGAAGUAGGUCCCAAGGGUAUGGCUGUUCGCCAUUUAAAGUGGUACGCGAGCUGGGUUUAGAACGUCGUGAGACAGUUCGGUCCCUAUCUGCCGUGGGCGCUGGAGAACUGAGGGGGGCUGCUCCUAGUACGAGAGGACCGGAGUGGACGCAUCACUGGUGUUCGGGUUGUCAUGCCAAUGGCACUGCCCGGUAGCUAAAUGCGGAAGAGAUAAGUGCUGAAAGCAUCUAAGCACGAAACUUGCCCCGAGAUGAGUUCUCCCUGACUCCUUGAGAGUCCUGAAGGAACGUUGAAGACGACGACGUUGAUAGGCCGGGUGUGUAAGCGCAGCGAUGCGUUGAGCUAACCGGUACUAAUGAACCGUGAGGCUUAACCUU
This 2741-nucleotide ribosomal RNA is filed under the name Escherichia coli. RNAcentral describes it as "partial 23S ribosomal RNA". It matches the Rfam family "Bacterial large subunit ribosomal RNA". The record is from RNAcentral. Lineage: Bacteria; Pseudomonadati; Pseudomonadota; Gammaproteobacteria; Enterobacterales; Enterobacteriaceae.